RNAcentral lists this ribosomal RNA (301 nucleotides) under uncultured bacterium. Its description in RNAcentral is "partial 16S ribosomal RNA". It matches the Rfam family "Bacterial small subunit ribosomal RNA", at positions 509 to 807 of the family's 1533-position model. The record is from RNAcentral.
CAGUCGCCGCGGUAAUACAGAGGGUGCAAGCGUUAAUCGGAAUUACUGGGCGUAAAGCGCGCGUAGGUGGUUUGUUAAGUUGGAUGUGAAAGCCCCGGGCUCAACCUGGGAACUGCAUCCAAAACUGGCAAGCUAGAGUACGGUAGAGGGUGGUGGAAUUUCCUGUGUAGCGGUGAAAUGCGUAGAUAUAGGAAGGAACACCAGUGGCGAAGGCGACCACCUGGACUGAUACUGACACUGAGGUGCGAAAGCGUGGGGAGCAAACAGGAUUAGAUACCCGAGUAGUCCCUGUCUCUUAUAC